RNAcentral lists this ribosomal RNA (460 nucleotides) under uncultured bacterium. RNAcentral describes it as "partial 16S ribosomal RNA". It matches the Rfam family "Bacterial small subunit ribosomal RNA", at positions 338 to 795 of the family's 1533-position model. The record is from RNAcentral.
CCUACGGGAGGCAGCAGUGAGGAAUAUUGGUCAAUGGUCGUAAGACUGAACCAGCCAAGUAGCGUGCAGGAUGAAGGCUCUAUGGGUUGUAAACUUCUUUUAUGCGGGAAUAAAAUGCGUGACGUGUCACGUUUUGUAUGUACCUCAUGAAUAAGGACCGGCUAAUUCCGUGCCAGCAGCCGCGGUAAUACGGAGGGUCCGGGCGUUAUCCGGAUUUAUUGGGUUUAAAGGGAGCGUAGGCCGCAUGUUAAGCGUGCGGUGAAAUGCCGUGGCUCAACCAUGGCAUUGCUGAGGGAACUGGCUGGCUUGAGUGCGCGGAAGGUAUGCGGAAUGCGUGGUGUAGCGGUGAAAUGCUUAGAUAUCACGAAGAACCCCGAUUGCGAAGGCAGCCUACGGAAGCGCUACUGACGCUGAUGCUCGAAGGCGUGGGUAUCGAACAGGAUUAGAUACCCGUGUAGUC